RNAcentral lists this non-coding RNA (23 nucleotides) under Cricetulus griseus (Chinese hamster). The record is from RNAcentral. Lineage: Eukaryota; Metazoa; Chordata; Mammalia; Rodentia; Cricetidae.
AGGCUUAUUUAAGGACUUUAAAA